Molecule: ribosomal RNA, 512 nt
Filed under: Lygodactylus blancae
Lineage: Eukaryota; Metazoa; Chordata; Lepidosauria; Squamata; Gekkonidae
Description: partial 16S ribosomal RNA
Rfam family: Bacterial large subunit ribosomal RNA
Source: RNAcentral
GUCCAACCUGCCCAGUGAAAAUUUUUAAACGGCCGCGGUAUUCUAACCGUGCAAAGGUAGCGCAAUCACUUGCCCCUUAAUUAAGGGCUAGUAUGAACGGUUACAUGAGGGUUUAACUGUCUCCUAUGACCAAUCAAUGAACUUGAUCACUCCGUACAAACGCUGAGAUAAACCCACAAGACGAGAAGACCCUGUGGAACUUUAAGUCCCCUGCAAGCAGGCCAAGAACCCGCCAGCCCCCUUCCUAGCAGGCACUUUCAGUUGGGGCAACUACGGAGUAAAAAAGAACCUCCAUGCACUGCAGUUAACCCCUGCCACCCUAGGCCAACACGCCUACCCUACCAACCAGACCCAGCAAAGCUGAGCAACGGACCAAGCUACCCCAGGGAUAACAGCGCCAUCCCCUUCAAGAGUCCAUAUCGCCAAGGGGGUUUACGACCUCGAUGUUGGAUCAGGACCCCCCGGCGGUGCAGCCGCUGCCAAUGGUUCGUUUGUUCAACGAAUAAUGUCCU